UAAAGAAUUUCGGUAUGGGAUGGGGAUGCGUUCCAUUAGUUAGUUGGCGGGGUAACGGCCCACCAAGACGACGAUGGAUAGGGGUUCUGAGAGGAAGGUCCCCCACAUUGGAACUGAGACACGGUCCAAACUCCUACGGGAGGCAGCAGUGAGGAAUAUUGGUCAAUGGACGAGAGUCUGAACCAGCCAAGUAGCGUGAAGGAUGACUGCCCUAUGGGUUGUAAACUUCUUUUAUAUGGGAAUAAAACGUUCCACGUGUGGGAUUUUGUAUGUACCAUAUGAAUAAGGAUCGGCUAACUCCGUGCCAGCAGCCGCGGUAAUACGGAGGAUCCGAGCGUUAUCCGGAUUUAUUGGGUUUAAAGGGAGCGUAGGUGGAUUGUUAAGUCAGUUGUGAAAGUUUGCGGCUCAACCGUAAAAUUGCAGUUGAAACUGGCAGUCUUGAGUACAGUAGAGGUGGGCGGAAUUCGUGGUGUAGCGGUGAAAUGCUUAGAUAUCACGAAGAACUCCGAUUGCGAAGGCAGCUCACUGGACUGCAACUGACACUGAGGCUCGAAAGUGUGGGUAUCAAACAGGAUUAGAUACCCUGGUAGUCCACACAGUAAACGAUGAAUACUCGCUGUUUGCGAUA
This 628-nucleotide ribosomal RNA is filed under the name uncultured bacterium. RNAcentral describes it as "bacterial SSU rRNA". It matches the Rfam family "Bacterial small subunit ribosomal RNA", at positions 202 to 831 of the family's 1533-position model. The record is from RNAcentral.